Molecule: ribosomal RNA, 1624 nt
Filed under: human gut metagenome
Description: bacterial LSU rRNA
Rfam family: Bacterial large subunit ribosomal RNA
Source: RNAcentral
CCAAUCGAACCCGGAUAUAGCUGGUUCUCCCCGAAAUAGCUUUAGGGCUAGCCUCGAAUAUAUUUACCGGAGGUAAAGCACUGAAUGGUCGAGGGGUCGAGAGACUACCAACACCUAUCAAACUAAGAAUACCGGAUAAAUGAGUUCGGGAGUCAGACUACGUGAGAUAAGUCUCGUGGUCAAAAGGGAAACAGCCCAGACCCACAGCUAAGGUCCCCAAUGUAUGCUAAGUGGAAAACGAUGUGACAAUGCUAAGACAACUAGGAUGUUGGCUUAGAAGCAGCCACUCAUUCAAAGAGUGCGUAAUAGCUCACUAGUCGAGUGAUGUUGCGCGGAAAAUUCAACGGGGCUAAGCAUACAACCGAAGCUUGGGCAGUAGAAAUACUGGGUAGGGGAGCGUUCUGUACGGGCAGAAGCAUCAGCGGAAGCAGGUGUGGACUGUACAGAAGUGAGAAUGCCGGAAUGAGUAGCGAGAAUUGUGUGAGAAUCAUAAUGGCCGAAAAUCUAAGGUUUCCGGGGGUAGGGUCGUCCACCCCGGGUUAGCCGGGAGCUAAGGCGAGGCCGCGAGGCGUAGUCGAUGCACAAACGGUAGAGAUUCCGUUGCCGCCAGAUCUUAAGUAACUGACACGAGGGUAGAGUUCAACCCGGCCGAUGGUAGAGCCGGGCGAAAGGGACUGAAGAAUAGUAGGGAAGUGAACGAAGCCAGCGGCGAGAAAAGGUUAUGUAUGAAAUCAGGCGCCCGUACCGCAAACCGACACAGGUAGAUGAGGAGAGGAUCCUAAGGCCAGCGGGAGAAGGGUUGUUAAGGAACUCGGCAUAUUGACCCCGUAACUUCGGAAGAAGGGGUGCCUCCGUAAGGAGGCCGCAGUGAAAAGGCCCAGGCAACUGUUUAUCAAAAACACAGGUUUCUGCAAAAGCGAAAGCUGAAGUAUAGGAGCUGACGCCUGCCCGGUGCUGGAAGGUCAAGGGGAUCGCUUAGCGCAAGCGAAGGCGAGAACUUAAGCCCCAGUAAACGGCGGCCGUAACUAUAACGGUCCUAAGGUAGCGAAAUUCCUUGCCAGGUAAGUUCUGGCCUGCACGAAUGGCGUAAUGAUCUGGGCACUGUCUCAACAGCCCGCCCGGCGAAAUUGUAGUACCGGUGAAGAUGCCGGUUUCCUGCGACUAGACGGAGAGACCCCAUGGAGCUUUACUGUAGUCUGAUACUGAAAUUUGGUUCAUUAUGCACAGGAUAGGUGGGAGACAGAGAAACCCGGGCUUUGGCUUGGGCGGAGUCGCCGUUGGGAUACCACUCUUGAUGAACCAAGUUUCUAACCUGCUCCCGUGAUCCGGGAGGGGGACAAUGUCAGAUGGGCAGUUUGACUGGGGCGGUCGCCUCCAAAAGAGUAACGGAGGCGUUCAAAGGUUGGCUCAGCGCGGACGGAAAUCGCGCAAUGAGUAUAAACGUAUAAGCCAGCCUAACUGUGAGACCUACAAGUCGAGCAGUAACGAAAGUUGGAGUUAGUGAUCAGGUGGUAGUGAGUGGAAAUGCCAUCGCUUAACGGAUAAAAGCUACCCUGGGGAUAACAGGCUGAUCUCCCCCAAGAGUUCACAUCGACGGGGAGGUUUGGCACCUCGAUGUCGGCUC